AUUAAACGCUGGCGGCAUGCCUUACACAUGCAAGUCGAACGGCAGCACGGGGGCAACCCUGGUGGCGAGUGGCGAACGGGUGAGUAAAGCAUCGGAACGUGCCCUGGAGUGGGGGAUAACGUAGCGAAAGUUACGCUAAUACCGCAUAUUCUGUGAGCAGGAAAGCAGGGGAUCGCAAGACCUUGCGCUCUGGGAGCGGCCGACGUCGGAUCAGCUAGUUGGUGGGGUAAAGGCCUACCAAGGCGACGAUCCGUAGCGGGUCUGAGAGGAUGAUCCGCCACACUGGGACUGAGACACGGUCCAGACUCCUACGGGAGGCAGCAGUGGGGAAUUUUGGACAAUGGGCGCAAGCCUGAUCCAGCCAUUCCGCGUGCAGGAUGAAGGCCUCGGGUUGUAAACUGCUUUG
This 406-nucleotide ribosomal RNA is filed under the name uncultured bacterium. RNAcentral describes it as "bacterial SSU rRNA". It matches the Rfam family "Bacterial small subunit ribosomal RNA", at positions 29 to 437 of the family's 1533-position model. The record is from RNAcentral.